This 557-nucleotide ribosomal RNA is filed under the name uncultured bacterium. RNAcentral's name for it is "bacterial SSU rRNA". It matches the Rfam family "Bacterial small subunit ribosomal RNA", at positions 112 to 704 of the family's 1533-position model. The record is from RNAcentral.
AACACGUGGGAACGUGCCUUUAGGUUCGGAAUAGCUCCUGGAAACGGGUGGUAAUGCCGAAUGUGCCCUUCGGGGGAAAGAUUUAUCGCCUUUAGAGCGGCCCGCGUCUGAUUAGCUAGUUGGUGAGGUAAUGGCUCACCAAGGCGACGAUCAGUAGCUGGUCUGAGAGGAUGACCAGCCACAUUGGGACUGAGACACGGCCCAAACUCCUACGGGAGGCAGCAGUGGGGAAUUUUGCGCAAUGGGCGAAAGCCUGACGCAGCCAUGCCGCGUGAAUGAUGAAGGUCUUAGGAUUGUAAAAUUCUUUCACCGGGGACGAUAAUGACGGUACCCGGAGAAGAAGCCCCGGCUAACUUCGUGCCAGCAGCCGCGGUAAUACGAAGGGGGCUAGCGUUGCUCGGAAUUACUGGGCGUAAAGGGCGCGUAGGCGGAUCGUUAAGUCAGAGGUGAAAUCCCGGAGCUCAACUUCGGAACUGCCUUUGAUACUGGCGAUCUUGAGUGUGAGAGAGGUAUGUGGAACUCCGAGUGUAGAGGUGAAAUUCGUAGAUAUUCGGAAG